This 116-nucleotide Y RNA is filed under the name Propithecus coquereli (Coquerel's sifaka). RNAcentral describes it as "Y RNA (ENSPCOG00000002612.1)". It matches the Rfam family "Y RNA". Rfam says of the family: Y RNAs are components of the Ro ribonucleoprotein particle (Ro RNP), in association with Ro60 and La proteins. The Y RNAs and Ro60 and La proteins are well conserved, but the function of the Ro RNP is not known. The record is from Rfam by way of RNAcentral. Lineage: Eukaryota; Metazoa; Chordata; Mammalia; Primates; Indriidae.
GGCUGGUCCGAAGGUAGUGAGUUAUCUCACUUGAUUGUUCACAGUCAGUUACAGAUUGAACUCCUUGUUCUACUACUUUCCUCCCUCCUCACUACUACACUUUGACUAGGUCUUAA